Molecule: ribosomal RNA, 465 nt
Filed under: uncultured bacterium
Lineage: Bacteria
Description: partial 16S ribosomal RNA
Rfam family: Bacterial small subunit ribosomal RNA
Source: RNAcentral
CUACGGGUGGCUCCAGUGAGGAAUCUUGCGCAAUGGGGGCAACCCUGACGCAGCAACGCCGCGUGAGUGAAGAAGGCCUUCGGGUCGUAAAGCUCUGUCAAGUGGGAAGAAUAGCCUUGAGACGAAUACUCUUGAGGUAUGACGGUACCACUGGAGGAAGCACCGGCUAACUCCGUGCCAGCAGCCGCGGUAAUACGGAGGGUGCAAGCGUUAUUCGGAAUUAUUGGGCGUAAAGGGCGUGUAGGCGGCCAGACAAGUCAGGGGUGAAAGCCCGGGGCUCAACCCCGGAAGUGCCUUUGAAACUGUCUGGCUUGAGUGCGGGAGAGGAAAGCGGAAUUCCCAGUGUAGAGGUGAAAUUCGUAGAUAUUGGGAGGAACAUCGGUGGCGAAGGCGGCUUUCUGGACCGACACUGACGCUGAGGCGCGAAAGCGUGGGGAGCAAACAGGAUUAGAUACCCCCGUAGUC